This 492-nucleotide ribosomal RNA is filed under the name uncultured bacterium. RNAcentral describes it as "partial 16S ribosomal RNA". It matches the Rfam family "Bacterial small subunit ribosomal RNA", at positions 29 to 507 of the family's 1533-position model. The record is from RNAcentral.
AGUGAACGCUGGCGGUAGGCCUAACACAUGCAAGUCGAACGGCAGCACAGUAAGAGCUUGCUCUUACGGGUGGCGAGUGGCGGACGGGUGAGGAAUACAUCGGAAUCUACUUUUUCGUGGGGGAUAACGUAGGGAAACUUACGCUAAUACCGCAUACGACCUACGGGUGAAAGCAGGGGAUCUUCGGACCUUGCGCGAUUGAAUGAGCCGAUGUCGGAUUAGCUAGUUGGCGGGGUAAAGGCCCACCAAGGCGACGAUCCGUAGCUGGUCUGAGAGGAUGAUCAGCCACACUGGAACUGAGACACGGUCCAGACUCCUACGGGAGGCAGCAGUGGGGAAUAUUGGACGAUGGGCGCAAGCCUGAUCCAGCCAUACCGCGUGGGUGAAGAAGGCCUUCGGGUGGGAAAGCCCUUUUGUUGGGAAAGAAAAGCAGCAGGUUAAUACCCCGCUGUUCUGACGGUACCCAAAGAAUAAGCACCGGCUAACUUCGUG